RNAcentral lists this ribosomal RNA (465 nucleotides) under uncultured bacterium. RNAcentral's name for it is "partial 16S ribosomal RNA". It matches the Rfam family "Bacterial small subunit ribosomal RNA", at positions 28 to 507 of the family's 1533-position model. The record is from RNAcentral.
GACGAACGCUGGCGGCGUGCUUAACACAUGCAAGUCGAACGGAAAGGCCCUGCUUGCAGGGUACUCGAGUGGCGAACGGGUGAGUAACACGUGGGUGAUCUGCCCUGCACUUCGGGAUAAGCCUGGGAAACUGGGUCUAAUACCGGAUAGGAGCCAUUUUUAGUGUGAUGGUUGGAAAGUUUUUUCGGUGUAGGAUGAGCUCGCGGCCUAUCAGCUUGUUGGUGGGGUAAUGGCCUACCAAGGCGGCGACGGGUAGCCGGCCUGAGAGGGUGGACGGCCACAUUGGGACUGAGAGACGGCCCAGACUCCUACGGGAGGCAGCAGUGGGGAAUAUUGCACAAUGGGCGCAAGCCUGAUGCAGCGACGCCGCGUGGGGGAUGACGGCCUUCGGGUUGUAAACUCCUUUCGCUAGGGACGAAGCUUUUCGUGACGGUACCUAGAUAAGAAGCACCGGCUAACUACGUG